AGUGAACGCUGGCGGUAGGCCUAACACAUGCAAGUCGAACGGCAGCACAGUAAGAGCUUGCUCUUACGGGUGGCGAGUGGCGGACGGGUGAGGAAUACAUCGGAAUCUACUUUUUCGUGGGGGAUAACGUAGGGAAACUUACGCUAAUACCGCAUACGACCUACGGGUGAAAGCAGGGGAUCUUCGGACCUUGCGCGAUUGAAUGAGCCGAUGUCGGAUUAGCUAGUUGGCGGGGUAAAGGCCCACCAAGGCGACGAUCCGUAGCUGGUCUGAGAGGAUGAUCAGCCACACUGGAACUGAGACACGGUCCAGACUCCUAUGGGAGGCAGCAGUGGGGAAUAUUGGACAAUGGGCGCAAGCCUGAUCCAGCCAUACCGCGUGGGUGAAGAAGGCCUUCGGGUUGUAAAGCCCUUUUGUUGGGAAAGAAAAGCAGCGGGUUAAUACCCCGCUGUUCUGACGGUACCCAAAGAAUAAGCACCGGCUAACUUCGUG
RNAcentral lists this ribosomal RNA (492 nucleotides) under uncultured bacterium. RNAcentral describes it as "partial 16S ribosomal RNA". It matches the Rfam family "Bacterial small subunit ribosomal RNA", at positions 29 to 507 of the family's 1533-position model. The record is from RNAcentral.